AACGAACGCUGGCGGCAUGCCUAACACAUGCAAGUCGAACGAGACCUUCGGGUCUAGUGGCGCACGGGUGCGUAACGCGUGGGAACCUGCCCUUAGGUUCGGAAUAACUCCCCGAAAGGGGUGCUAAUACCGGAUAAUGUCUUCGGACCAAAGAUUUAUCGCCUUUGGAUGGGCCCGCGUUGGAUUAGCUAGUUGGUAGGGUAAAAGCCUACCAAGGCGACGAUCCAUAGCUGGUCUGAGAGGAUGAUCAGCCACACUGGGACUGAGACACGGCCCAGACUCCUACGGGAGGCAGCAGUGGGGAAUAUUGGACAAUGGGCGAAAGCCUGAUCCAGCAAUGCCGCGUGGGUGAUGAAGGCCUUAGGGUUGUAAAGCUCUUUUACCCGGGAUGAUAAUGACAGUACCGGGAGAAUAAGCUCCGGCUAACUCCGU
RNAcentral lists this ribosomal RNA (432 nucleotides) under uncultured bacterium. Its description in RNAcentral is "partial 16S ribosomal RNA". It matches the Rfam family "Bacterial small subunit ribosomal RNA", at positions 29 to 506 of the family's 1533-position model. The record is from RNAcentral.